AGAGUUUUCAAUGACCUCAAUCUGUUUGCACUUCCCGUUUUGAUUUCUUCAGUCCUCGUCACUUUUGUGCUUGUGGUUACAUCCCAUAUUUUCACAGUACAAUCAGCAGAACCAGAUGCAAGCAGUGAACCUUCACAACUGAAAGCUAGUGUCCAUACACAUGAAUUGUGGCCCAUCAAAGGCGAAACACAGCGGCCACUUGAAAGGUCCCAC
RNAcentral lists this unclassified non-coding RNA (213 nucleotides) under Hevea brasiliensis (rubber tree). The record is from RNAcentral. Lineage: Eukaryota; Viridiplantae; Streptophyta; Magnoliopsida; Malpighiales; Euphorbiaceae.